This 83-nucleotide ribosomal RNA is filed under the name Clostridioides difficile. The record is from RNAcentral. Lineage: Bacteria; Bacillati; Bacillota; Clostridia; Peptostreptococcales; Peptostreptococcaceae.
UGGUUAUAAUAGCAGAGAGGAUACACCUGUUCCCAUUCCGAACACAGAAGUUAAGCUCUCUAGCGCUGAUGGUACUUGGUGGG